UACGUAGGGUGCAAGCGUUAAUCGGAAUUACUGGGCGUAAAGCGUGCGCAGGCGGUUUUGUAAGACGGGUGUGAAAUCCCCGGGCUCAACCUGGGAACUGCAUUCGUGACUGCAAGGCUAGAGUGCGUCAGAGGGAGGUGGAAUUCCGCGUGUAGCAGUGAAAUGCGUAGAGAUGCGGAGGAACACCGAUGGCGAAGGCAGCCUCCUGGGAUGACACUGACGCUCAUGCACGAAAGCGUGGGGAGCAAACAGG
Molecule: ribosomal RNA, 253 nt
Filed under: uncultured bacterium
Lineage: Bacteria
Description: partial 16S ribosomal RNA
Rfam family: Bacterial small subunit ribosomal RNA
Source: RNAcentral